Molecule: transfer RNA, 71 nt
Filed under: Candidatus Diapherotrites archaeon CG08_land_8_20_14_0_20_34_12
Lineage: Archaea; Nanobdellati; Candidatus Iainarchaeota
Description: tRNA-Val
Source: RNAcentral
GGGCUCAUGGUCCAUCGGCACGAUAUCGCUUUGACUUAGCGAUGAGCUCGGUUCGACUCCGGGUGGGCCCA